This 561-nucleotide ribosomal RNA is filed under the name uncultured bacterium. Its description in RNAcentral is "bacterial SSU rRNA". It matches the Rfam family "Bacterial small subunit ribosomal RNA", at positions 338 to 913 of the family's 1533-position model. The record is from RNAcentral.
CCUACGGGAGGCAGCAGUAGGGAAUCUUGCGCAAUGGGCGAAAGCCUGACGCAGCAACGCCGCGUGGGGGAUGAAGGCUCUCUGGUUGUAAACCCCUUUCAGCAGGGACGAUUAUGACGGUACCUGCAGAAGAAGGACCGGCCAACUACGUGCCAGCAGCCGCGGUAAUACGUAGGGUCCGAGCGUUGUCCGGAUUUAUUGGGCGUAAAGAGCUCGUAGGCGGCUCGGUAAGUCGGAUGUGAAAACUCGGGGCUCAACCCCGAGACGCCAUCCGAUACUGCCGUGGCUUGAGUCUGGUAGGGGAACACGGAAUUCCUGGUGUAGCGGUGAAAUGCGCAGAUAUCAGGAGGAACACCAAUGGCGAAGGCAGUGUUCUGGGCCAGUACUGACGCUGAGGAGCGAAAGCGUGGGUAGCAAACAGGAUUAGAUACCCUGGUAGUCCACGCCGUAAACGUUGGGCACUAGGUGUGGGGACCUAUCGACGGUUUCCGUGCCGCAGCUAACGCAUUAAGUGCCCCGCCUGGGGAGUACGGCCGCAAGGCUAAAACUCAAAGGAAUUGA